Molecule: ribosomal RNA, 918 nt
Filed under: Triticum aestivum (bread wheat)
Lineage: Eukaryota; Viridiplantae; Streptophyta; Magnoliopsida; Poales; Poaceae
Description: partial small subunit ribosomal RNA
Source: RNAcentral
AUGGAGCUCGCCGGGGUGGACGAGGUGGAGCUGGUGGACCGGGACGCCAGCCCGCGCGGCACCAAGCACUUCGUCCUCUGGAACUCCUCGUCAGCGUCGAAGUCGCCGGUGACGGAGGUGUCCCGGCUGCUGGCCGAGAUGGUGCAGCACGGGCUGCGGUGCAUCGCCUUUUGCAAGACGAGGAAGUUAUGCGAGCAGGUGCUGGCGGCGGCGCGCGAGGUUCUGGAGGAGGCCGUGCCGGCGGCGCCGGAGCUGGCGAGCUCCGUGUGCGUGUACCGCGGCGGCUACGUGGCGAGCGACCGUCGGCGGAUCGAGGCGGACCUCUUAAGCGGGCGGCUCCGCGGUGUGGCGGCCACGAACGCGCUGGAGCUGGGCAACGACGUCGGCCACGUCGACGCCACGCUCCACCUCGGCUUCCCCGGCAGCAUCGCCAGCCUCUGGCAGCAGGCCGGCAGGUCGGGCCGGCGAUCCAAGGACUCCAUCGCCGUCUACGUCGCCUUCGACGGCGUCGUGGACCAGUACUUCAUGAACUACCCCGACAAGCUCUUCGGCAAGCCGAUCGAGCGCUGCCACGUCGACGCGCAGAACCAGAAGGUCCUCCGGCAGCACCUCGCGUGCACCGCCGUGGAGAACCAGCUCCGGCCCGACCGCGACGAGCCCUACUUCGGCGCCACCAUGAACGACGCCAUCACAUUCUUGAAAGACAAAGGAAUCCUCACCAGCAAUCCAACCGGUGGUAACACGUGGAAGUACGCCGGCCCGGUCAGGCGGCCGUCGCAGUCGGUGAGCAUCCGCGCGAUCGAGCACGAAAAGUUCACGGUGACAGAGACGGCGAGCAAGCGGGAGGAGAUCGAGCAGAGCAAGGCCUUCUUCGAGGUGCACGAGGGCGCGGUGUACAUGCACCAGGGCGUGAGCUAG